UAGCGGCAGGCAUCCUCGUUGUGGUU
This 26-nucleotide non-coding RNA is filed under the name Homo sapiens (human). Lineage: Eukaryota; Metazoa; Chordata; Mammalia; Primates; Hominidae. The record is from RNAcentral.